GGGUGCGUAUGCCAUGUUGUUGAUCAUAGUUCAAUUAAGCGACUCAAGUCACGUGGAUGUUGUUCCUUGCAAAUCACUUAGUCUUAUUGUGGAUGCCUGGAUUGCUUUAUUUAUUUAUUUUUAAUUCGUUUCUAGUUUAAUUGAUUAUUAAUUAAUACUGCUGUUUGGUAAAUUUAGAAAGAUGGAAUGAUUUGUACAAAAUGAAAG
Molecule: unclassified non-coding RNA, 207 nt
Filed under: Hevea brasiliensis (rubber tree)
Lineage: Eukaryota; Viridiplantae; Streptophyta; Magnoliopsida; Malpighiales; Euphorbiaceae
Source: RNAcentral